AGAGUUUGAUCAUGGCUCAGAGUGAACGCUGGCGGCGUGCUUAACACAUGCAAGUCGAACGAGAACGGUACUAGCUUGCUAGUAUGUCAGCUAAGUGGCGGACGGGUGAGUAAUGUAUAGUUAAUCUGCCCUUCAGAGGGGGAUAACAGUUAGAAAUGACUGCUAAUACCCCAUACUCCUUUUAUAUUAAUUGUAAUUGGGAAAUGUUUUUUCGCUGAAGGAUGAGACUAUAUGGUAUCAGGUAGUUGGUGGGGUAAGAGCCUACCAAGCCAAUGACGCCUAGCUGGUCUGAGAGGAUGAUCAGCCNCACUGGAACUGAGACACGGUCCAGACUCCUACGGGAGGCANCAGUGGGGAAUAUUGCNCAAUGGGGGAAACCCUGAUGCAGCAACGCCGCGUGGAGGAUGACACAUUUCGGUGCGUAAACUCCUUUUAUAUGGGAAGAUAANGA
RNAcentral lists this ribosomal RNA (451 nucleotides) under uncultured Campylobacterota bacterium. Its description in RNAcentral is "bacterial SSU rRNA". It matches the Rfam family "Bacterial small subunit ribosomal RNA", at positions 8 to 454 of the family's 1533-position model. Lineage: Bacteria; Pseudomonadati; Campylobacterota. The record is from RNAcentral.